Molecule: ribosomal RNA, 402 nt
Filed under: uncultured bacterium
Lineage: Bacteria
Description: bacterial SSU rRNA
Rfam family: Bacterial small subunit ribosomal RNA
Source: RNAcentral
UGGGGAAUCUUGCACAAUGGGGGCAACCCUGAUGCAGCGACGCCGCGUGAGCGAUGAAGCCCUUCGGGGCGUAAAGCUCUUUCGACCGGAACGAUAAUGACGGUACCGGGAGAAGAAGCUGCGGCUAACUACGUGCCAGCAGCCGCGGUAAUACGUAGGCAGCAAGCGUCGUUCGGAGUUACUGGGCGUAAAGAGUGCGUAGGCGGUUUUCUAAGUUCGGUGUGAAAUCACCCGGCUUAACUGGGAGGGUGCGCCGAAGACUGGGAAGCUGGAGUGUGGGAAAGGCAGGCGGAAUUCCUGGUGUAGCGGUGAAAUGCGUAGAUAUCAGGAGGAACACCGGCGGUGUAGACGGCUUGCUAGACCAUAACUGACGCUGAGGCGCGAAAGCGUGGGUAGCAAACA